AGUGAACGCUGGCGGUAGGCCUAACACAUGCAAGUCGAACGGCAGCACAGUAAGAGCUUGCUCUUACGGGUGGCGAGUGGCGGACGGGUGAGGAAUACAUCGUAAUCUACUCUUUCGUGGGGGAUCACGUAGGGAAACUUACGCUAAUACCGCAUACGACCUACGGGUGAAAGCAGGGGAUCUUCGGACCUUGCGCGAAUGAAUGAGCCGAUGUCGGAUUAGCUAGUUGGCGGGGUAAAGGCCCACCAAGGCGCCGAUCCGUAGCUCGUCUGAGAGGAUGAUCAGCCACACUGGAACUGAGACACGGUCCAGACUCCUACGGGAGGCAGCAGUGGGGAAUAUUGGACAAUGGGCGCAAGCCUGAUCCAGCCAUACCGCGUGUGUGAAGAAGGCCUUCGGGGUGUAAAGCCCUUUUGUUGGGAAAGAAAAGCAGCAGGUUAAUACCCCGCUGUUCUGACGGUACCCAAAGAAUAAGCACCGGCUAACUUCGUG
RNAcentral lists this ribosomal RNA (492 nucleotides) under uncultured bacterium. RNAcentral's name for it is "partial 16S ribosomal RNA". It matches the Rfam family "Bacterial small subunit ribosomal RNA", at positions 29 to 507 of the family's 1533-position model. The record is from RNAcentral.